UACAGAGGGGGCAAGCGUUGUUCGGAAUUACUGGGCGUAAAGGGCGCGUAGGCGGCCUCUUAAGUCGAACGUGAAAUCCCCGGGCUCAACCCGGGAACUGCGUCCGAUACUGGGGGGCUUGAAUCCGGGAGAGGGAUGUGGAAUUCCAGGUGUAGCGGUGAAAUGCGUAGAUAUCUGGAGGAACACCGGUGGCGAAGGCGGCAUCCUGGACCGGUAGUGACGCUGAGGCGCGAAAGCCAGGGGAGCAAACGGG
Molecule: ribosomal RNA, 253 nt
Filed under: uncultured bacterium
Lineage: Bacteria
Description: partial 16S ribosomal RNA
Rfam family: Bacterial small subunit ribosomal RNA
Source: RNAcentral